This 369-nucleotide ribosomal RNA is filed under the name uncultured bacterium. RNAcentral's name for it is "bacterial SSU rRNA". It matches the Rfam family "Bacterial small subunit ribosomal RNA", at positions 29 to 429 of the family's 1533-position model. The record is from RNAcentral.
AACGAACGCUGGCGGCAGGCUUAACACAUGCAAGUCGAGCGCCCCGCAAGGGGAGCGGCAGACGGGUGAGUAACGCGUGGGAACAUACCCUUUGGUUCGGAAUAACUCAGGGAAACUUGAGCUAAUACCGGAUACGUCCGUAAGGAGAAAGAUUUAUCGCCAAAGGAUUGGCCCGCGUCCGAUUAGCUAGUUGGUGAGGUAACGGCUCACCAAGGCUACGAUCGGUAGCUGGUCUGAGAGGAUGAUCAGCCACAUUGGGACUGAGACACGGCCCAAACUCCUACGGGAGGCAGCAGUGGGGAAUUUUGGACAAUGGGCGCAAGCCUGAUCCAGCAAUGCCGCGUGCAGGAUGAAGGCCUCGGUUGUAAC